CGAAGAUGAACGCUGGCGGUAUGCUUAACACAUGCAAGUCGAACGGUCUUUUAGGAGACAGUGGCGGACGGGUGAGUAACGCGUAAGAAUCUACCCUCAGGUCGGGGACAACCACUGGAAACGGUGGCUAAUACCGGAUGUGCCGAGAGGUGAAAGGCUUGCUGCCUGGGGAAGAGCUUGCGUCUGAUUAGCUAGUUGGUAGUGUAAGGGACUACCAAGGCGACGAUCAGUAGCUGGUCUGAGAGGAUGAUCAGCCACACUGGGACUGAGACACGGCCCAGACUCCUACGGGAGGCAGCAGUGGGGAAUUUUCCGCAAUGGGCGAAAGCCUGACGGAGCAAUACCGCGUGAGGGAGGAAGGCUCUUGGGUUGUAAACCUCUUUUCUCAGGGAAGAACAGAAUGACGGUACCUGAGGAAUAAGCAUCGGCUAACUCCGUGCCAGCAGCCGCGGUAAUACGGAGGAUGCAAGCGUUAUCCGGAAUGAUUGGGCGUAAAGAGUCCGUAGGUGGCAUUGAAAGUCUGCUGUUAAAGAGUCUAGCUCAACUAGAUAAAAGCAGUGGAAACUACAAAGCUAGAGUUUGGUCGGGGCAGAAGGAAUUCCUGGUGUAGCGGUGAAAUGCGUAGAUAUCAGGAAGAACACCGGUGGCGAAGGCGUUCUGCUAGGCCGAGACUGACACUGAGGGACGAAAGCUAGGGGAGCGAAUGGGAUUAGAUACCCCAGUAGUCCUAGCCGUAAACGAUGGAUACUAGGCGUAGCUCGUAUCGACCCGAGCUGUGCCGGAGCUAACGCGUUAAGUAUCCCGCCUGGGGAGUACGCAGGCAACUGUGAAACUCAAAGGAAUUGACGGGGGCCCGCACAAGCGGUGGAGUAUGUGGUUUAAUUCGAUGCAACGCGAAGAACCUUACCAAGGCUUGACAUGUCACGAAUCCUGUAGAAACAUAGGAGUGCCUUAGGGAGCGUGAACACAGGUGGUGCAUGGCUGUCGUCAGCUCGUGUCGUGAGAUGUUGGGUUAAGUCCCGCAACGAGCGCAACCCUCGUUUUUAGUUGCCAGCAUUAAGAUGGGCACUCUAGAGAGACUGCCGGUGACAAACCGGAGGAAGGUGGGGAUGACGUCAAGUCAGCAUGCCCCUUACGUCUUGGGCUACACACGUACUACAAUGCUACGGACAAAGGGCAGCUACACAGCGAUGUGAUGCGAAUCUCAUAAACCGUAGCUCAGUUCAGAUCGAAGGCUGCAACUCGCCUUCGUGAAGGAGGAAUCGCUAGUAAUUGCAGGUCAGCAUACUGCAGUGAAUUCGUUCCCGGGCCUUGUACACACCGCCCGUCACACCAUGGAAGUUGGUCACGCCCGAAGUCGUUACCCCAACCUAUUGGAGGGGGAUGCCUAAGGUAGGACUGA
Molecule: ribosomal RNA, 1402 nt
Filed under: Dolichospermum circinale
Lineage: Bacteria; Bacillati; Cyanobacteriota; Cyanophyceae; Nostocales; Aphanizomenonaceae
Description: bacterial SSU rRNA
Rfam family: Bacterial small subunit ribosomal RNA
Source: RNAcentral